RNAcentral lists this microRNA (22 nucleotides) under Bos taurus (domestic cattle). Its description in RNAcentral is "bta-miR-6526". The record is from miRBase by way of RNAcentral. Lineage: Eukaryota; Metazoa; Chordata; Mammalia; Artiodactyla; Bovidae.
UCCUGUGCCUCGAAUGGGUAUG